GCCUUCGUGGCUGUAAAAUGCUGUGUCAUUGGCUGUCAUUGUCAUCGUCAGUGUCCACAUAACGUUGGCUGCUGAGCAGGUACAACGGAGCUGCACCUCACGACUGACCUGUAAAGGAAAAAGAAGAGUUAGCGUGGAACCAUGCUGUGACUGAUAUUCUCUGCCUUGUCCAAUGCUGCCAGCUGGAUAGUUUCCUGCUGUGGCUCCUCGGGGAAGGAGUCAUCACAAGAAACAUGCAAGUGUAAAGGGCAGAAUGUGUGGACAGUCAAUUGUGAUGCAGCAACAUCCAAACCAAAUCCCCCAUAAAUCCUGUGGACAGAAAAGACGUUUCUCCACCUGGUCGUACUUCAUAACUGAUCUGAUUUCAGCAUGUUAACGUCUCAGCUCUGUGCUGCUCUGUGCUUGUUAUAAUGACGGCUUGUCUGAAAACUCCUCAGUGGGGAGUUGGAUAAUGUCUGACGGCUGAUAAGUGCAGCAGUGGCUCGACUGUAUUCAACAUUCACUGUAAUGUGUUGAUCCAGUGCCUUAAAUAAACCAACUGAUGAUCCUUUA
Long non-coding RNA from Amphiprion ocellaris (clown anemonefish), 552 nucleotides. RefSeq lists it as uncharacterized. NCBI's taxonomy places the organism in Eukaryota, Metazoa, Chordata, Actinopteri, Pomacentridae. The transcript is spliced from 3 exons. The record is from RefSeq and is a predicted model, not a curated record.